GGCGGUAGGCCUAACCUUAACUGUAGUCAUUGAUACAUUCUUAACAUAAACACCCAUUUUAGGUUAGUUGUGCGAUUAAGAUUUUUGACGAAUCAAUCAACUCUAAAUCUAACAUUAACAUAUCACGCCUUCACUUGAUAGUACUCCUUUCUUUACUCUGUAGUUGUCUCAAAUUCGAACCAUUUUUUUUUUUUUUUUGUCCGAAAGACUCCUUUAGUGACCCAAUUCUUUUUCCCAUCUAGGUUUCAAAGUUUCUCUUUCUCUCAUAUUUUCAUUUGUUAUAUGUAUCCCUCUUUACUAUAAGUAUUAUGAGUCUUACGUAUGCAGAGAGAAGAAAUAGAUAAAAAAGAAGAAGAGGAGGAAAAUGAAGAUGAUGAUGAUGAUGAUGAGGAGGAGGAAGAAGAAUAGAUGAAAAAGGAUGAGGACGAUGAGGAUGAUGAUGAUGGAGCAGCAACAGAAUCCAAAACUGAUCAGCUGACCCUGGGAAUCGGAUUGUGCAAAUUGAAGUUGCAGUUCUUGGCAGCCGAGAAUGUCACUGGAAAAUAAAUUUGAAAGUAAGACUGAGAGAGGAAUGUGUCAAAUGUAUUAAUGUGUUUGCUUGAUUGAUAAAUGUAUGGUUGGUAUAUAUGAAUUUGGUCUUGGGACAGUAUGGGCUUGAAAAGUCAAGAGAGUAAAGUGCAGCUAGGAAUAUUUGCAGGUAAAUUGAUAAGUAAAAGAUGUUCUGCCAGAAGUUUUUUAUUGAUCUGAUGAAGGGCUGAGUUAGAGGCUUCUUAGUGUGCUCUGUUUUUUAUUUGAGAGAUAUAAUUUGGCAGAUCCUAGCUGCUUCCAAGUAUUGGUUUACUCUAACAUGUUUUAUAUUUGGGACAACUCAUUUGAAUGAUCCAAUUAUGGUACACUUAUUCAGGUUGCUAA
Long non-coding RNA from Macadamia integrifolia, 912 nucleotides. RefSeq lists it as uncharacterized. The record is from RefSeq and is a predicted model, not a curated record. The transcript has 2 exons. NCBI's taxonomy places the organism in Eukaryota, Viridiplantae, Streptophyta, Magnoliopsida, Proteales, Proteaceae.